Molecule: ribosomal RNA, 254 nt
Filed under: uncultured bacterium
Lineage: Bacteria
Description: partial 16S ribosomal RNA
Rfam family: Bacterial small subunit ribosomal RNA
Source: RNAcentral
UACGGGGGGAGCAAGCGUUGUUCGGAUUUACUGGGCGUAAAGGGCGCGUAGGCGGCCACCGCAAGUCGACUGUGAAAUCCCCGGGCUCAACCUGGGAACUGCAUCCGAGACUGCAUUGCUAGAGUAUGGGAGAGGGAAGCGGAAUUUCUGGUGUAGCAGUGAAAUGCGUAGAUAUCAGAAGGAACAUCAGUGGCGAAGGCGGAUUCCUGGACCAAUACAGACGAUAAGGUGCGAAAGCGUGGGGAGCAAACAGG